Molecule: ribosomal RNA, 430 nt
Filed under: uncultured Syntrophaceae bacterium
Lineage: Bacteria; Pseudomonadati; Thermodesulfobacteriota; Syntrophia; Syntrophales; Syntrophaceae
Description: bacterial SSU rRNA
Rfam family: Bacterial small subunit ribosomal RNA
Source: RNAcentral
UGAGGAAUCUUGCGCAAUGGGGGCAACCCUGACGCAGCAACGCCGCGUGAGUGAUGAAGGCCUUCGGGUCGUAAAGCUCUGUCAGAUGGGAAGAAAAUUUCAGCAGUGAAGAAUUGCUGGAAUCGACGGUACCGUCAAAGGAAGCACCGGCUAACUCCGUGCCAGCAGCCGCGGUAAUACGGAGGGUGCAAGCGUUGUUCGGAAUUAUUGGGCGUAAAGAGCGUGUAGGCGGUCGGAUUAGUCAGAUGUGAAAUCCCUUGGCUCAACCAAGGAAGGGCAUUUGAAACUGUCCGGCUUGAGUACGAGAGGGGGAAGCGGAAUUCCCGGUGUAGAGGUGAAAUUCGUAGAUAUCGGGAGGAACACCGGUGGCGAAGGCGGCUUCCUGGACCGAUACUGACGCUGAGACGCGAAAGCGUGGGGAGCAAACAGG